GCUCCAAACCCGAACUGUACCUUAUAUGGGUCGCGUGCUGUAAGGCUAGGAUUUGGAAUUUUU
RNAcentral lists this non-coding RNA (63 nucleotides) under unclassified sequences. RNAcentral describes it as "DUF3800-IX RNA". It matches the Rfam family "DUF3800-IX RNA". Rfam says of the family: Actinobacteria, Firmicutes (1 example), Nitrospirae, Proteobacteria, Verrucomicrobia (1 example). Nearby to DUF3800 The record is from Rfam by way of RNAcentral.